RNAcentral lists this ribosomal RNA (253 nucleotides) under uncultured bacterium. Its description in RNAcentral is "partial 16S ribosomal RNA". It matches the Rfam family "Bacterial small subunit ribosomal RNA", at positions 524 to 776 of the family's 1533-position model. RNAcentral also lists the same sequence under 3 other names. The record is from RNAcentral.
UACGUAGGGUGCGAGCGUUAAUCGGAAUUACUGGGCGUAAAGCGUGCGCAGGCGGUCCGCAAAGUCUGAUGUGAAAGCCCCGGGCUCAACCUGGGAACUGCAUUGGAAACUAACGGGCUCGAGUGUGGCAGAGGGGGGUGGAAUUCCACGUGUAGCAGUGAAAUGCGUAGAGAUGUGGAGGAACACCGAUGGCGAAGGCAGCCCCCUGGGCUAACACUGACGCUCAGGCACGAAAGCGUGGGGAGCAAACAGG